RNAcentral lists this long non-coding RNA (815 nucleotides) under Nothobranchius furzeri (turquoise killifish). RNAcentral describes it as "lncRNA (ENSNFUG00015019228.1)". Lineage: Eukaryota; Metazoa; Chordata; Actinopteri; Cyprinodontiformes; Nothobranchiidae. The record is from RNAcentral.
AUGGCAAAGAAGAUCCUCGAGGAGGAAUACAGGAAGUUGCUGGAGGAAAACUCCGGGCCCGAGCAGAUCGUCGAGCGGCUGAAGGCGCAGCUUCUGCCUCUGGAUAAAGAGAUAAGUGAUGCUGAAAGAACGAUUCAAGAGGGGAUCCUCGUCCCGAAGGACUUGGACUUGAAGAACACCCUCGAAAACAGAAAGCAGGUGCUUCUAAGGAGCCUGGAAAUGGAAACGCAAAAGUUUAAUGACUUGUGCAAAAAACAUGCUCAGUAUGAAGAAAUAGUUUUUCUGAGGAAGCAAGUAGAAGCCAAACUGCAAAUCAAAAGGAAAUUGGAUCAGCAGCUGGCCACGCUGCAAGCCGAGCAGGCUUUAGAUGCUUCCAGCCAGAUGAGACAAAUGCUGAAGCUGAAGAUGAGGAUCGAUGAAGAAAAGUUUCACUUCCAAAACACAAAAGAGCGACUGAAGGUUAGCACAGAGUGUGCUGCUAAACUGCAGACUUUCAUAGGAGGGAAGUGUCGGGGUAUUCCACACGAGGAGACAGCAAAACCAGUCACAGAGGCCUCGGAGCAGCAGGAGACGAAGGAGCUGAGCUCCAGCGACCAGCUGGGUGCCAUCGGAGGUGACCCAGAGAUGUUUGUCACUCAGGAUACAGAGACUCAGUCCAGCUACGUGGAUGUAUACAUCUGUGGGCUGAAGGAAGAACGCAGGAUGAUAGAAGAAAGUAUAAAAAAGACCCAGGUGUGUGUGUGUGUGUGUGUGUGUGUGUGUGUGUGUGUGUGUGUGUGUGUGUGUGUGUGUGUGUGUGUGUGUGUGUGUGUGUG